AACGAACGCUGGCGGCAGGCUUAACACAUGCAAGUCGAACGGGUGUAGCAAUACAUCAGUGGCAGACGGGUGAGUAACACGUGGGAACCUUCCUAGGGGUACGGAACAACUCAGGGAAACUUGAGCUAAUACCGUAUACGUCCGUAAGGAGAAAGAUUCAUCGCCCCUAGACGGGCCCNCGUCGGAUUAGGUAGUUGGUGGGGUAACGGCCUACCAAGCCUACGAUCCGUAGCUGAUCUGAGAGGAUGAUCAGCCACACUGGGACUGAGACACGGCCCAGACUCCUACGGGAGGCAGCAGUGGGAAUCUUGGACAAUGGGCGCAAGCCUGAUCCAGCCAUGCCGCGUGAGUGAAGAAGGCCUUAGGGUUGUAAAGCUCUUUUACCAGGGACGAUAAUGACGGUACCUGGAGAAUAA
RNAcentral lists this ribosomal RNA (416 nucleotides) under uncultured bacterium. RNAcentral describes it as "bacterial SSU rRNA". It matches the Rfam family "Bacterial small subunit ribosomal RNA", at positions 29 to 489 of the family's 1533-position model. The record is from RNAcentral.